Molecule: long non-coding RNA, 3036 nt
Organism: Gadus morhua (Atlantic cod)
Lineage: Eukaryota; Metazoa; Chordata; Actinopteri; Gadiformes; Gadidae
Source: Ensembl
AUGAUCCUUGGAGCCACAAUACAAACAGUCCCGGUUGAUUACUCCACGGGACUUUCUCUCUUCUGGCCGGUCGGUUCCUUGGUCUUUGUCGCGACGGGUUGGCUUAGGAUUCUCCAGGGCCUCCAGUUGGGCGAGCUGGAGCUUCUUGGUUAUCUCUUCUUUUCUAUUCUUCUCGAACUUUUCUUUCUUCAUGAAGAGAUUUUCUGCGUGGGUUGCGUGACUUAUAAUCAAAUCAAGUCUGGCGGUACGCCACCCAAUGCAGUGUGUCUCUAUGAAUUCCGAUAUUUUGUCGGCCAACGCAUCCAGGAAGGCCGCGGUGAGAUUUUCUUCGUACGGAGUCUGAACCACCCGGUCGGUUGGUACAGGCACUCCCCCGUGGAUCUUAAACACCUUUUCAACGCGGUCCAUCAAGUCAGCCACCGUCUCGCCUUCUGUUUGUUUGAUCUUUCGAAUAGCGGUCCAAUCUCUAACCAUGGGGAAUUGUCCAUCCAUCACGUCCUCAUGUUGAGGAGUUGGGGAGAACGCCAUUCCCUGGUUCCUCAAGCGGCUGGCGACGGGCUCCCGCUUGGUCGGUGUGGCCGUCGCCUGCUGUGGAGCUUUCCUCUGGCUACGAGUUGCAGGCCUAUCUCCUGCCAUGCUGCAAUCGGGUGCUUUCUCCUCAUCUUUGAGGUCAGGGUAGAGAUUGUCCGAUGAUGCGGCUUCAGGGGCGUUGUCAUACGGGGGAGGAGAAGGGAGAUUCGCACGCGGUCCGCCGGUGCAGUCCAGGUCCGGGUCUAUAUCUCGGGUGACAUUGAGAUUAAAAAUCCCUACACUCUCUACGCUCUCUGUCCCUGGCUGAUUUUUUUUUCUAUCCUGGCCCUCUCUUUCCCACAAAUAAAACGCACACCAACAUAGUUGGGAACUUUUCUUUUUCAUUUCUGAUUCCAACAAUCGUCUCUCUAACUCCUGUAAUCUUUUUAAGCUAAAACUCCCCAUUUCAGGAAAGCCCAGUUUGCACCAAUAUUUUAAACCCUCCAGAGCCGCUUCACCAUGCUUCUCCAACAUCACCUUCGCAGGUCCCGUUAUCUCCGUUUUUCCAGAUUUGUUCCCCAUAUUUUAGAUCCUUUUACACUAGUUAUUAUUUAACAAAUUAUCUAAUAUCGCCGAAACCUCCUUGUUACUACACACAUAUAAAUAUUUAUUAACGAAUGUAUACCUAUUAUUAUUAUCUAUAUAUAAAUGUGACCCCAACAGCGCAUAACGGGGUUCCCUUUACCGUUUUGACAGACCCUCCUGCCCUUUCUGUUACAUAUAUAACAUAUAGUUCAUAUAUUGACGGAACUUCACCGGAGUUGCUUUACCGUAUGUUCCUAUAACAAAGUUCGAACGUGGCCGAUUUGUUCGAAUAUACGUUUUCAAAACAGUAUAUACCGUUUUUAUAACGGAUUUUAUGUAGCUUAAAAGUAUUUUCAAGCUACAGAAGUAUUGAGAUCUCACCUGCUCGAAUUCUUUUGUUUCCUUCUGGAUACCGUACUGAAGAAGCCUUAGUUUAUCCCCCACAGGCACUCUCUCCUCGACCCCAUUAGUCUGGUUACAGUCACCUGGAGGCGGGGUAGAGCUUUGGGACCGACUCGGACCUGUUUUGGAGCGAUAUUUCGUGGAAUCUUCAGGUUAGAUAUCCCGGACGAGCCCCCAAAUUGUCGUGGCAAUUUCUCUAUUAGAUAUUGCGUCUGAGACAGAUGAGAUCUUUAGAUGCAAAAAAGCACACAAUACUUGUAGGCAAUUGCUGGUCGCAUAUAUUUGUAUUAAAAAGUACUAACAAAGAUACAUCUCAAUAUGCAUCAACAAACAAUAAAAAACAGGCAUACAAUAAUAAUCUGAGGCCUCAGAUGAGAGCUUCUCUUUGCAUGAUACUUCACUCUCUGAAGGUACGCUGGGGAGAAGUCCCCUGAGUGUUUGAAAGAAAUGAGUUCUUAUUCACUGGGGUUGGCAUCUGGAGGGGGUGUCCCCCCCAUAAAACCAACAGCCUUUGUUUACCAGAUGGUAAUCUUUUCUAUUGAAGCCCCCCCCCGAUGUCAUUUGAGGGGUCGGCGGCCGUGAGUGACCUUCUGGUCUCGUUGACGUUAGCCAGGGGGUUGAGGACAUCAAAGCAUUACGAUUGGCUGAUUUACAACACACGAAGAUAGGUACAGGCAGGCAAUAAAAUGCUUCACACGACUCUCGAACGUUCACACUUUAAAUGACCCAAAAGGAGCCCAGAAGGCAGACACUAUAUAAAAUUACACAGAAUAGCAACAAAACUUAAAUUCAUAUAGACCAAAACAAUACAACAUGUAGAUUUUCCAUCACACUGGUAGUCAAGUCCAACUCGCCAGCCGGCGAGAGGAAAUCCAACCACGCCGCUUUAAAGAACAUGUCUAUAUUCUUAAGCCGUAAAAGGGGUCCCGGACUCCAGCACAGAGUUGCCGAGUGAACCCCUGGACAUGUCUGACAUGUAAAAACGGACCAAGGGGCCAGGGGAAGACCAAGACGCAGCCGUGCAAAUGUCUUCCACCGAAACGCCCUUGAGUAGAGCCGUUGAAGCGGCCACGCUCCGUGUGGAGUGAGCUUUAACGCCCAACGGUGGCGCCAAGCCCUGCCGAGAGUAGGCUAAGCAAACACCCUCACAUAUCCAGCGAGAAAACCGCUGCUUAGAGAGAGCGCGGCCCCUGCUAGCGUCGCUAUAACACACAAACAACUGUUGUGUGGAGCGGAACACAGCCGAGCGAUUCACGUACAUAGCCAAUGGCCGAACCGGGCACAGGAGAUGCAACUCCGCCUCCGCCUCACUAGAAUUAGGCGGGGGUUGAAAAGCCUUAAGCACAAUAUCCCUUGUACGAAAAUCACUAUUAAUGUUCUUCGGGAGGAAUGCAGGAUUAGGUCUGAGCAACACGAAGGAGCUGUCCUCGUUUAGCAACAAGCAACUCGGACUGACAGACAGAGCGGUUAGCUCACCGGCCCGCUUGGCAGAAACCAAGGCCAACAAGAGCGCCGUCUUAAAGGACAGGGCAUCCAAAG